Non-coding RNA from Pelobates cultripes (western spadefoot toad), 245 nucleotides. The record is from the annotation of a GenBank genome assembly. Lineage: Eukaryota; Metazoa; Chordata; Amphibia; Anura; Pelobatidae.
CACAUAAGCACAGACAAAGAUAGAAAUAGGUACCCAGAGUCAGGCACACAAAGGAACACACUGGUACAGAUUGGCACAGACAGGCAGACACAGAUACAGACAAGUACACAUAGGCACAGACAGAGAAACAGGCACAAACAUAGACAUAUAUACAAACAGAAAGGUAUACACAGACCCAGAAAGACACAGACAAGAAGAAAGAGGUACACACAGAUACAGAUAGACACAAUCCUGUAUACACUCAC